Molecule: ribosomal RNA, 492 nt
Filed under: uncultured bacterium
Lineage: Bacteria
Description: partial 16S ribosomal RNA
Rfam family: Bacterial small subunit ribosomal RNA
Source: RNAcentral
AGUGAACGCUGGCGGUAGGCCUAACACAUGCAAGUAGAACGGCAGCACAGUAAGAGCUUGCUCUUACGGGUGGCGAGUGGCGGACGGGUGAGGAAUACAUCGGAAUCUACUUUUUCGUGGGGGAUAACGUAGGGAAACUUACGCUAAUACCGCAUACGACCUACGGGUGAAAGCAGGGGAUCUUCGGACCUUGCGCGAUUGAAUGAGCCGAUGUCGGAUUAGCUAGUUGGCGGGGUAAAGGCCUACCAAGGCGACGAUCCGUAGCUGGUCUGAGAGGAUGAUCAGCCACACUGGAACUGAGACACGGUCCAGACUCCUACGGGAGGCAGCAGUGGGGAAUAUUGGACAAUGGGCGCAAGCCUGAUCCAGCCAUACCGCGUGGGUGAAGAAGGCCUUCGGGUUGUAAAGCCCUUUUGUUGGGAAAGAAAAGCAGCAGGUUAAUACCCCGCUGUUCUGACGGUACCCAAAGAAUAAGCACCGGCUAACUUCGUG